RNAcentral lists this small nuclear RNA (164 nucleotides) under Paramuricea clavata. Its description in RNAcentral is "U1 spliceosomal RNA". It matches the Rfam family "U1 spliceosomal RNA". From Rfam's summary of the family: U1 is a small nuclear RNA (snRNA) component of the spliceosome (involved in pre-mRNA splicing). Its 5' end forms complementary base pairs with the 5' splice junction, thus defining the 5' donor site of an intron. There are significant differences in sequence and secondary structure between metazoan and yeast U1 snRNAs, the latter being much longer (568 nucleotides as compared to 164 nucleotides in human). Lineage: Eukaryota; Metazoa; Cnidaria; Anthozoa; Malacalcyonacea; Plexauridae. The record is from Rfam by way of RNAcentral.
AUACUUACCUGACGCGAGAGGCACCUUGAUCAACUAGGGGGUCCUCUCAGGAUGAGGCCCUUUCAUUGCACUUCGACUGGGUUGACUCCUGCGAUUACCCCUAAUGUGGGUAACUCGAGCGUAUAAUUUCUGGUAGUGGGGACCUGCGUUCGCGCUCGUCCCCU